Rhinolophus ferrumequinum (greater horseshoe bat) is the source of this 129-nucleotide small nucleolar RNA. NCBI's taxonomy places the organism in Eukaryota, Metazoa, Chordata, Mammalia, Chiroptera, Rhinolophidae. The record is from Ensembl.
GCAGAGGUUUGGAUUUAUGGCAGGCCUGUCCCCCUGGGCCUCUCAUAGUGCCCCAUGCCAGAGCAAAUUGUGGCUCCGAACCAUUGUUUGGCCUCAUAAGCUGCAGGCACUGAAGUGGGUUGCACAGUG